CUUUGCUGUGUGAUGUGUGUGAAGAGGUCAGCGAUGACACUGACUCGACUUUCUAAAAGCUUUAUUCCAUUUUAUUUGUAAAUAUCUUUUAUGAACAACAAGAAAAUAUAUAUUUAUAUAUAAUAUGCAUUUUAACUUGCUAUUAUUUACACUGUUUACAUUAUUACUGUGAAAAGGUACAGAAUCAGAACCGAGUGUGUUUCUGAUGGAACCGGUUCUGUACUGUGUGUGUGUGUGUGUGUGUGUGUGUGUGUGUGUUCAUGUAUAUACAUUCAUCAGGAAAUAGAAAUCAAAUCAUCAUCAUAUGAGAAACGUUUCAUAUCCAUCAGGAGGAAUGUAAAAGUUUUAGCUCCCUGUCUGAACAUGUGCUUGACACGCUGGACUUUCAAAACUGGUCCAAACAGGAGCCAAGGGUACUCCGGGUUCUGGCUCAUUUUCCAGCAAUUUGAGAAACCGGAACAUUUUCUGGUGAGUCAUCAGUUCACUGCACAAUUAAUCUUACAUGGCCCGAGUGCUUGGAUUGACCUGCUUAUUUGUAUCUGAUUUUUCUGCAUAAAUCAAACUCAUCCUCCAUAAUGUUCCCCCAGCAGUGCUGAUUUAGCUCCACCCCAACAUGUUCCCCCAGCAGUGCUGAUUUAGCUCCGCCCCAACAUGUUCCCCCAGCAGUGCUGAUUUAGCUCCGCCCCAACAUGUUUCCCCAGCAGUGCUGAUUUAGCUCCGCUCCAACAUGUUCCCCCAGCAGUGCUGAUUUAGCUCCGCCCCAACAUAAUGUUCCCCCAGCACAGUGCUGAUUUAGCUCCGCCCCAACAUACUGUUCCCCCAGCAGAGUGCUGAUUUAGCUCCGCCCCAACAUACUGUUCCGCCAGCAGAGUGCUGAUUUAGCUCCGCCCCAACAUACUGUUGGUGCUGAUCCAAAAACCUACAACUGGAGCCUGUAGUGCUGAGACGGUGGCAGGAAAUGUACCAGAAUUUCUGUUCCUGAGCUGUGUGUCAGUACUGUGACAUAUUAAAUAGGUGCUUAGAUGUCCCUGUGUGUGUGUGUGUGUGUGUGUGUGUGUGUGUGUGUGUGUGUGUGUGUGUGUGUGUGUGAAUGUGUGUGUGUAAGCUGGUGAAAGACAUUGAGUUCUCACUACCUUUGUAUGCUACACACAGUUCCAGCUGUGUAUAUACACACAGUAUACUCUGCACUAACACACGUAUCUCUCUGUUCUGUCUUCUAAACAGUCCGGGGUUUAACUCUGGCACAGACACAGUGAACGGUUCCACAUCCCCAAUAAUAAUUCAGUGUUCAGUAAAGUUCUCCUUUAGCAGCAUGUCACACAGCAGGUGUGUCCGAGACCACGCUCCCGACAGCACACAGCUCUGUGGAACCAGAACCCAGAACCCAGUCCUGAGCUUCAGCACAGGAGAACCUUACAGU
Ictalurus punctatus (channel catfish) is the source of this 1420-nucleotide long non-coding RNA. The record is from Ensembl. Lineage: Eukaryota; Metazoa; Chordata; Actinopteri; Siluriformes; Ictaluridae.